Molecule: ribosomal RNA, 620 nt
Filed under: uncultured fungus
Lineage: Eukaryota; Fungi
Description: eukaryotic LSU rRNA
Rfam family: Eukaryotic large subunit ribosomal RNA
Source: RNAcentral
CCCGCUGAACUUAAGCAUAUCAAUAAGCGGAGGAAAAGAAACUAACAAGGAUUCCCCCAGUAACGGCGAGUGAAGAGGGAACAGCCCAAAUUUGUAAUCUGGCCCUUUCAGGGUCCGAAUUGUAAUUUCAAGAACUGUUUUCUGUGCUGGACCAUGUACAAGUCUGUUGGAAUAUAGCUUCAUAGAGGGUGAGAAUCCCGUACAUGACAUGGACUACCAGUGCUUUGUGAUACAGUCUCUAAGAGUCGAGUUGUUUGGGAAUGCAGCUCAAAUUGGGUGGUAAAUUCCAUCUAAGGCUAAAUAUUGGCGAGAGACCGAUAGCGAACAAGUACCGUGAGGGAAAGAUGAAAAGCACUUUGGAAAGAGAGUUAACAGUAUGUGAAAUUGUUGAAAGGGAAACGCUUGAAGUCAGUCUUGUUCUUUGUUGUUCAACCGCAAGGUGUAUUCAACUUUGAACAGGCCAGCAUCAGUUUUGAGUGUUGGAUAAGGGUAAAGGAAAUGUGGCAACCUUGGUUGUGUUAUAGUCCUUUACUUGAUACAAUGCUUGGGACUGAGGAAUGCAGUAUUUAUUACUUUGGAUGCUGGCGUAAUGGCUUUAAACGACCCGUCUUGAAACACGG